UGGUAGCAAGUGGCAGGAGUCAGGCUUUAAUUCCCCUGCUGCAUAUCCCCUCUACCACUUCUAUCCCUGCCUGCUUGCCCUGCUGUAGCAGUGUGGGAACAAAUUUUAAGAUGACCCUCCAAAAAUCCAAUUCUAGGCUUGGAAAAUUAUUUUAAAAAUGUAUAAUUUUCCCCAUGUCCAGAAUCUAAUUGAGGCAGGGAGUUGUCCUAAAUUCAGAGUCAUCUUGGAUUCAGGUAAAUAUGGUACGUAGCUUACUCUUUGAUUAAACUAAAUAUAUUGAGCUCCUCAAGGUCUUCACUAUAAAUAAUAAAUUUGUAUCCAUCAGUCAUCCUUGUGACUCAUCUCUGAACCAUUUCCAGUUUUUCAGGAUCCUUAUUUGUGUUUUAUACACCAGAUUUCCAAUGGAUUCCUAGAGUGGUCACAGUAGUGCUGACACCUUCAUCUUCUUCCUUAGGGAGGAAUGCUAAUAUGAUCCUCUAAUUACAGAAAGGCUAAUAUGAUCUCUGAAAGGCUAAUAUGAUCUCUGAGUGUCAGUAUCUCCUUAAGGAGGUAUUGAUACUCAGGGAUCAUAUUAGCCUUUCUGUAAUUACUCAUGUAAGAUGGUGAGGUCAAAAAGUGAUAUGUGCUCCUAUAGAACUUAUAGAAAGAGGUAAUAGUAGGAAACUGCCAUCUUGACUGAAAGCAGAGGGUCAAAAUUGGAGGUUGCUAUAGAUUCUUUUGUUCUCUCUGGAUCACAGAGAGAGAGAGAGCGAGAGGUAAUACAUAUUUAACAAUGAAUUCCAUUCUACUACAGACACAAUAAGCUCUUUUGGGAGCCCAAGGUCUCUGAAUUUAACUGAGCCUCCAUAUGUGAGUUGCCUUCAUCUCUAUAGCUCAUGGUAGGCAUUGAAUGUGGGAUCAUUAGAAUUAAAAACCUGAAGCUAUCCAUCCUGAACUGUUAUAUCCUCAGGUGAUCUGGCACAGGCACUUGCCACAUGACUGAAAGUCCAAGAUACUGCAGUGAGUGUAUACAAAAUGUGAGUUCAAGUUCUGCCUUGCCACAGACUUCUGUAACUUAGGGCAUAUCUCCUCUAUGCUUCUUUCCUAUUUGGACUGGUACAGAAUGACUUCUCUCUCUCUCUCCUUUUUUAUCUGUCUGUUAAGCUUAGAUGUAUUUAGGACUAUUUUGACCAGCAUUCUUGGGACUAUUGUGAAUUACUAUAGCUUGUGUUGAAGGGUCAAGGCUCCCUUAUGAGGGCUAUACCAGAGUCUCACCCUCAGUGGACAGGGUAGAGAGAGGGACCUGUAAUGCAUGCUCAACUUUAGAUUAAAUUAACUUCACAGAGAAGAACUUUUCUCAUGCUUGCCAUGCCCAUGAAGCCUGCCCUGUUCGUGAAGCCUGGCAUGUCCACAAUGCCACCCCAUCUUAUCUGGGGCUUCUAGAUGCUACUUUAGUAUAAAUAAGAAGCAAUUAUACAUAGAAACAUAGAAACCCAAGUUUAAUUGUUGGCAAGUGAACAGAAAUAAAUGACAGAGAAAGAAAAAAUUGGCAAUGUGUUCAUUUUUUUUCUGUCUUCAAACCACAAAAAUUGCCUUUUAAAUAGGCUUAAUGAAUCCAAGCAGCCGCACAAUACAGCAUUUCUCAAAAUAUUUACUACAUAUUUAGGAGUGGAGAUCAUACUGGGAUGAGCUACGUCUGUCUCUCUCAGGGAUUUCAAAUCCUUCUUGCUGUGAUCUGUCUUGACAGUUCAGUCAGACUUUGGGGAUAGUCUGAUCUAUAUGGUUAGCAUAGAAAAUUGUCAGCCUGGAGGAUAUCACUCAUAGAAGGGAUGAUAUUUGAUGCCUUAAUAAACAGUCUGGUGACUGUGAAAAGGCAUAUAAACAGCAGAGAAGUUUUCAGUGUAAAUAUAGGCACAGAAAAUAAUGCAGUUCUUGGAGACUUUUGGAUGAAUCAUGAGCAUGUGCUUGUGUGUAGACAGUAAAUCAAGUGGAAAUUAAUUAUGUAUAAUGCAUCACUGCAUAAAGAGAAUGACUUGAAGGUAGAAAAUUCAAGUAUGAUUGUUAAUCUUUUGCUAUUUGGGAAACUGUAGUCUUGCUGUAGGAGCAGUUGAGAGGUGCCUCUAAGAGGCACAGUACUUUGCUUUCUUUCAUUUGACAUGAGUAUGUAGGGUGAAGACAGACAGCGUUCCAUACUUUAUGGGCAUGCCUGAUGCAUGCCCUUCUGCUGGUUAUCACACUGCUUUUUAGGGGCAUUUUAAAGGGGUGUGAGAACUGACACUGGGUUUCCCUUAUGAAGUAAGAAGCUUAGGGGAGGGUGCUAAUUUUCUUCUCUCUUGUUGGGAGUCACCAAAAUCAGCCCUGAAAUGAAGCUUUUGCUUCUACUGCUGUUUAGCAUAGAUUAUCUCCUUUAGGAAAUAGUACUGUGUGUGGUUUUGGACAAUGUACUUUACUUACCCAUAUUGCACCUUUCUCUUUACAACAGUUAUUUAAUUGAAGCCUCUCACUCUCCUGUCUGAUAGGCAUUACUUCCUUAACACACACAGGGACACAGAGGUGCACAAUUGCAAAGUGACUUGUCUAGCGUCACAUCCCAAAUGUGGCAUUAGGAAGAAAAAAAAAAAUCAAACAGAUGCCCUGACUGCAGAUUCUGGGCUGUUGUCCCUGAACAGGGAUACCUUUCCUUGAUGCAUUUCUGCAGAAGAAAUGUGCAGUCUUUAGAGGUAGCAACUCUAAUAAUGUGUCAUGCAUCGUUCUCUUAGAAGCUAUAGAAUUAAUUGCUAUGUUACUCCUGCAUUACACAAUGAUGAUACUGAAGUAGCUCUGAAAUGCAUUUAGUUAAUAUGACAGAUAACCGUAGUGUUUAUAUACACAUGGCCACAUACCAAAGCAGCCUAGAAUAGGCAGUUGAAAAUGUGAAGUUUUAGUUUCUGCUGUCAUACAGCUCCCCACACCUGCACAUGCAUUUUCCUCUGCCAUGUGAAAAGACAAGUGAUGUAAUUUAAUUUGAAAAACAAAACAUUGUGAAGAUGACAUGACAUCUGCCUGAAAUCAGGAAAGCCAACCAUUGGGAUGAGUAUAUUAGCAUAUUUGCAGCCUUUUUUUCUCCAUUGGUAGCCUACCUGGAGACUGUCUAUAUUCCAUUUGAUAGAAUCUUCACCAAGCUUAUAGGGUCACUUCAAAGCACCUGACAAAUCAAAUCAGAUACUUGAGAUUAUGUUUUAUGUGGCCUAAAAAUGCCUAAUCAGUGCAACAGGCCCGAGCAUCAGCUUUCUUUCUACUACCCACUUUUCUGCAGAAGAGUAACUUCUUAUCCUCAUUUUUGCUGAGUACAGCUUAGUACACAUAGUCAAAAAGACUGACUCAGUAUUGAUUCAGUCUUUGCAAGUUAGUCUAAAAUGCAGAGAUUAAAAUGAAAUAGAAGUGAACAGACUGUGAAAAGGGACUGGCUAUAAAUGAGGUCCAGAGAACAGAAAAAGAGAUCAUGCUGGGAGAAUGCCAAUUUUGGAGUAGCUGUUCCUUUAAGAUAGAGAGACCCAGAGGGGCACAGCACGGAGAGAGAACGGAGCAAGGGUUCAGAGGAAGAGAAACUGUGGAGGAAGAUCGAGACAGGGAAAUCCCGGGAGCCGGUUCUGCGUGAGAGAGAGGGCAUAGCCAGAAGACAGAAUCCCUAAAGAAAUAAAUUGACUCUUGAAUCACUCGGAAGAGUGGAGUAAUGAAAGCAGAGACCUCAAGAAAGAAGGCACUGCGGGUACUCAUCAGUUUUCACAAAAGUUCAUUCUUAUCCUGUUCCAUUUUCUUGUUUUUGUUUGAAUUUAAUUAGGACUGAUUGUGCUGGGUGAGAGGAAGAGUCCGAGUCCCGGCUACUCUCACACCCAUACAAGAAAGAAACGGGGGAUAAUAUCUUCCCAUGAAACGAAAAAGGGGAAGAAAGAAAGAGACUGAAAGCAGUACCCCUGGUCAAGUAAAAAAA
This is a long non-coding RNA of Gavialis gangeticus (Gharial), 3949 nucleotides long. RefSeq lists it as uncharacterized. Lineage: Eukaryota; Metazoa; Chordata; Crocodylia; Gavialidae. The transcript is spliced from 2 exons. The record is from RefSeq and is a predicted model, not a curated record.